ACAACAUUUGGACCAUCUCGGUCUACCGAGCCACCCACUCGGUGGAAGAUCUUCUCCCCGUCGU
RNAcentral lists this microRNA precursor (64 nucleotides) under Bombyx mori (domestic silkworm). Its description in RNAcentral is "mir-2774 microRNA precursor family". It matches the Rfam family "mir-2774 microRNA precursor family". Lineage: Eukaryota; Metazoa; Arthropoda; Insecta; Lepidoptera; Bombycidae. The record is from Rfam by way of RNAcentral.